Molecule: long non-coding RNA, 933 nt
Filed under: Homo sapiens (human)
Lineage: Eukaryota; Metazoa; Chordata; Mammalia; Primates; Hominidae
Description: HSALNT0024214
Source: RNAcentral
UUCCAAACGGUAUGGCGAGCACUGCGCAUGCGGGAAACCCACCCUGUAAGGGAAGAAUCCUGGGAAAGAGGCAAGCCUAUGAAGUCCCAGGAUCAAGGUGGGACCAUCUAGUUGCAGGAAAACAAGCUGAGUGAGGAUUCCCACUGAUUCUAUACUAUGGUCAUACCAAUCACCUCUGAGAAGCCCAAUCACUACAACCACUAACCACAACAUAAAUCAACGUGAGGACCUGAGAGCUCGCUUGCUCCCACUCUGUCCCUAGCCCAGCCUGGUUUUUCCAUCACAUGCUUCUUAGGCAGCAGGGAGCUGAGGCAGGGGGAACAUUUAGUUCCUUUUUCAAAGACUGGGAACACUUAAAAAUAUCUCCAAGUAAGCAACCAGCAUUCAGAGGAUGCUUAUUUACACUUUGUAGGAGCCUGGUGUUGGGACUCUGGCUCCUGGAUGGCGUCAAACCUGCCCUUGGGCUUGGCCGAGGCUGGUCUGGGAGUACCAUUUGCAAAUGGCUCUUGCUUCACGGUUGCAUCUCCAUCUGGGUAAACAACCUAGCGACAGCGCUGGCUCUUCUUAAGGCUGUCUGUUAUGGACUGAACUGUGUCCCUCUCAGAUUCACUUGUUAAAGUCCUGACCCCAGUACACCUCAGAAUGUGACUGUAUAUAGAAAUAGGGCAUGUAAAGCAGUCAUGACGGUUAAGUAAGGUCAUAUGGAUUGGCUCUAGUUCAAACGUGACUGGUAUCCUUCUAAGAAGAGGAAGAGACACCAGAGCUCACUCUCUUUCCACGCACACAAUGGCCAUGUGAGCACACUGUGAGAAGAUGCCAUCCGCAAGCCAAGAAGAGAGGCCUUGGGAGAAACCAAACCUGCUGUCACCUUGAUCUUGGACUUCCAGCCUCAAGAACUGUGAGAAAAUAAAUUUCUGCUGUUUAUUCCACCCA